AGGAAAGUCUGUGGUACAAAACAA
Molecule: non-coding RNA, 24 nt
Filed under: Arabidopsis thaliana (thale cress)
Lineage: Eukaryota; Viridiplantae; Streptophyta; Magnoliopsida; Brassicales; Brassicaceae
Source: RNAcentral